GACAACGCUGGCGGCGUGCUUAACACAUGCAAGUCGAACGGUGACGAGGAGCUUGCUCCUCCGAUCAGUGGCGAACGGGUGAGUAACACGUGAGCAACCUGCCCCUCACUCUGGGAUAACAGUUGGAAACAGCUGCUAAUACCGGAUACGACACAGACAGGCAUCUGUACUGUGUGGAAAGUUUUUCGGUGAGGGAUGGGCUCGCGGCCUAUCAGUUUGUUGGUGGGGUAAUGGCCUACCAAGACGACGACGGGUAGCCGGCCUGAGAGGGCGACCGGCCACACUGGGACUGAGACACGGCCCAGACUCCUACGGGAGGCAGCAGUGGGGAAUAUUGCACAAUGGGCGAAAGCCUGAUGCAGCGACGCCGCGUGAGGGAUGACGGCCUUCGGGUUGUAAACCUCUUUCAGCAGGGAAGAAGCGAAAGUGACGGUACCUGCAGAAGAAGCACCGGCUAACUACGUG
This 465-nucleotide ribosomal RNA is filed under the name uncultured bacterium. RNAcentral's name for it is "bacterial SSU rRNA". It matches the Rfam family "Bacterial small subunit ribosomal RNA", at positions 32 to 507 of the family's 1533-position model. The record is from RNAcentral.